Stegostoma tigrinum is the source of this 802-nucleotide long non-coding RNA. RefSeq lists it as uncharacterized. Lineage: Eukaryota; Metazoa; Chordata; Chondrichthyes; Orectolobiformes; Stegostomatidae. The record is from RefSeq and is a predicted model, not a curated record. The transcript is spliced from 4 exons.
UGGCUGUUCAUUACAAAUUUGUUGGAAGAAUGCUACUAUUACACCUCAAUUCCAGUGUUACCAAUCAGUAAUCGAUAUUUCAUGAGAUAAUUUGAUUAGAAAAAAAUCUUUGGAACAGUUACCUGACUACUAUUAUGGCAGGAAGAUUCAUGAAUGUGAUUGGCCUGUUGUACCUGGUCCUUUUUACACGCAUAGGGAGUUAUAUCGGAAUAGCAUUUGCAACCCUGGCACUAUCGUUCCUCCUAGUUAUUCUGAUAGUUUGCACGUGGAUUGGAUGCGAAAAGAUAUGUGAAAAGCUUUCAAGACUUCGUAGAAACAGUGCGUAUACUCCUGCAACUAAAUCAACCAUCGUGAGCGAAUAUGUCCAAACAAAGGAAACAGGAGAGUGAAGGUGUUCUCAGAAGAGCAGAGGACAAGAUCACAGAGCAUUCAACAUUAGGGUCUCUGCUAACCUGUGUCUCGUCGAACGCUUUUCCACCUAAUGCAAAGAUCUUUUUUGUUUUUAUUUACGUUUGGAUUUCAUAUUUUAGUAGUUGAUAAAAAAUGUGAAAUACCACAGGAUGCUUAUAAUGGCUGAACUGAAAAGUAAUGACACUGACGUUACCGGGAUUUUAAAAAAGUAAUAGAAGCAUUCAACGCGGAUUUGUGUUAGUAAUUUGCGACGAGUUAUUUAAAGAUACUACUUCAUUCUAUACUGGGAGUGUUUUACAACCUACUGCAAAACUUUAAUUUUGAUCACAAUGCUAAUGAAGAAAAUUACCCCUGUAUGAGUCUACAUCUUUGUGAACUUAAUUUUGUGUUA